Molecule: non-coding RNA, 30 nt
Filed under: Mus musculus (house mouse)
Lineage: Eukaryota; Metazoa; Chordata; Mammalia; Rodentia; Muridae
Source: RNAcentral
UUUGAGCGUCAGGGUGUCUUCUUCAGAUCU